CUAACGACUCUCGGCAACGGAUAUCUCGGCUCUCGCAUCGAUGAAGAACGUAGCGAAAUGCGAUACUUGGUGUGAAUUGCAGAAUCCCGUGAACCAUCGAGUCUUUGAACGCAAGUUGCGCCCGAAGCCAUUAGGCUAAGGGCACGUCUGCCUGGGUGUCACGC
Molecule: ribosomal RNA, 164 nt
Filed under: Greyia radlkoferi
Lineage: Eukaryota; Viridiplantae; Streptophyta; Magnoliopsida; Geraniales; Francoaceae
Also listed under: 1 other name
Description: 5.8S ribosomal RNA
Rfam family: 5.8S ribosomal RNA
About the family: 5.8S ribosomal RNA (5.8S rRNA) is a component of the large subunit of the eukaryotic ribosome.
Source: RNAcentral